GUAGGAUCCGAGCGUUAUCCGAAUUUACUGGGCGUAAAGCGCGUGUAGGCGGCCGGGUAAGUUGGACGUGAAAGCUCCUGGCUCAACUAGGAGAGGUCGUUCAAAACUGCCUGGCUAGAGGGCGACAGAGGGAGGUGGAAUUCCCGGUGUAGUGGUGAAAUGCGUAGAUAUCGGGAGGAACACCAGUGGCGAAGGCGGCCUCCUGGGUCGCCCCUGACGCUCAGACGCGAAAGCUAGGGGAGCGAACGGGAUUAGAUACCCCGGGUAGUCCUAGCUGUAAACGAUGUGGACUUGGCGUUGGUGGGGUCAAAUCCCAUCAGUGCCGGAGCUAACGCGAUAAGUCCACCGCCUGGGGACUACGACCGCAAGGUUA
RNAcentral lists this ribosomal RNA (373 nucleotides) under uncultured organism. RNAcentral describes it as "partial 16S ribosomal RNA". It matches the Rfam family "Bacterial small subunit ribosomal RNA", at positions 527 to 896 of the family's 1533-position model. The record is from RNAcentral.